RNAcentral lists this ribosomal RNA (1280 nucleotides) under Longitarsus rutilus. Its description in RNAcentral is "16S ribosomal RNA". The stretch from base 1069 to 1228 matches the Rfam family "Archaeal large subunit ribosomal RNA", at positions 2542 to 2701 of the family's 2987-position model. The record is from RNAcentral. Lineage: Eukaryota; Metazoa; Arthropoda; Insecta; Coleoptera; Chrysomelidae.
UUAAAAAGUUAAUUGUUAAAUCAAUUUAGUUUGAGAUAAAAAAUUUAUUUAAUUUUAAAUUUAUUUUUUUUUUAAAAAAAAUAAUUUAUUUUUUAUUAUUACAAUAAGAAAAAAUUUUUUUAAUUAUAGUUUAUAGUAUUGUAAAAGAAAAUUUUUUAAUUAAUUAAAAGAAAAUUUUAUUUUUUGUACCUUGUGUAUCAGGGUUUAUUAAAAUUUAGUAAAAAUUUAUUAUUCUCGAAUUUAAAAGAGCUAAAAAAUUAUUAUUAUUAUUGUAUAAUAAUUAUAUUAAAUAAUUUUUUUGUAAUGAAAUGUUAUUCGUUUUUAAAUAUAUCUAGUUUUUUAAGAAAAAAAUUUAAUUUUGUUAUUAUUAAUAUAAUUUUUAUUAAUUAAUUUUAUAUUUAUAAUAAUUAAUAUUUUUAGGGAUUAGCUUAAAAAUAGAUUUUUAUUAAUAAAUAAAAUUUUUUAAUUUUUUAGGAUUAGAAAUUUUCAUAAUUUAAAGUAUGUUAUAAUUUAAUUUAGAUAGUUAUAAUUUUUAUUUUUUAUAAAUUUAAUAUUAAAAUAUAAAUUUUAAUUUUAUAUAUUUAGUAAUAAUGAUAAAAUUAGUAUAAUUUUUUAUAAAAAUAAAAAAUUAAAUUAAUAUUAAUUAAAGGAAUUCGGCAAAUUAAUUUUCACCUGUUUAAUAAAAACAUGUCCUUUUGGUAUUAAUUUAAGGUUUAACCUGCCCAAUGAAAAUUUAAAUGGCCGCGGUAUUUUAACUGUGCUAAGGUAGCAUAAUCAUUAGUUUUUUAAUUAAAAGCUGGAAUGAAGGGUUGGAUGAGAAAUUAACUGUCUCUAAUUAAUUUUAUUAGAAUUUUAUUUUUAAGUUAAAAAGCUUAAAUUUUUUUAAAAGACGAGAAGACCCUAUAGAGUUUUAUAUAUUUAAUUUAUAAAUAUUUAGAAUUUAUUUUUUAUAAUUAGUUUAUAUUUAAUUGGGGUGAUUAAAAAAUUUAAUAAACUUUUUUUAUAAAUUUAUAUUAAUUAAUAAAUUAAUGAUCCAGAUAUUUUGAUUAUAAGAUAAAUUACCUUAGGGAUAACAGCGUAAUUUUAUUAAAGAGUUCUAAUCGAAAAUAAAGUUUGCGACCUCGAUGUUGGAUUAAAAUUUAUAUUUGGUGUAGAAGCUAAAUAAUUUAAGUCUGUUCGACUUUUAAAAUUUUACAUGAUCUGAGUUUAAACCGGUGUAAGCCAGGUUGGUUUCUAUCUUUAAAUAUAUAAAAUAUUUUAGUACGAAAGGACCAAAUAUU